AGUGAGUCUGCAGUCACUCUGUAGGAAUAGAGAGGUUGUGAGGAAGAAGCCUUGGGAUCCUAGCCUGCCUGAAAGAGGCUCAGAAGCAGCAACUGGGGUGGAGCGGGCAAGCUUUGGACUGCCAGUGAAUGAGAGCCUUUGCCUGUGAGAUGAAGAAAGACUGAGUCAGAGGGGAGAAAAAUGUCUCCAAAGAGCCACACUUAGACACACUCAAUAACAGAGGUGCUGAACUUCAUUGAUGGUGUCUACACAAGUGCAGCAACAAGGUUCAAAUGCUGGUUGGAGGGCAAGGGUGAGCCAUGUCUGAAAUCUGCCAUCAAAUACAGGAAAUUCUACUGUAGACACUGCCUAAAAGAAAACCCACUAGUCCUUCAACAUACAUUACAAAUAUAAAUUAAAUACA
Chelonia mydas (Green sea turtle) is the source of this 403-nucleotide long non-coding RNA. RefSeq lists it as uncharacterized. NCBI's taxonomy places the organism in Eukaryota, Metazoa, Chordata, Testudines, Cheloniidae. The record is from RefSeq and is a predicted model, not a curated record. The transcript has 3 exons.